CGGACGGGUGAGUAAUGUCUGGGAAACUGCCUGAUGGAGGGGGAUAACUACUGGAAACGGUAGCUAAUACCGCAUAACGUCGCAAGACCAAAGGAGGGGACCUUAGGGCCUCUUGCCAUCGGAUGUGCCCAGAUGGGAUUAGCUAGUAGGUGGGUAACGGCUCACCUAGGCGACGAUCCCUAGCUGGUCUGAGAGGAUGACCAGCCACACUGGAACUGAGACACGGUCCAG
This 231-nucleotide ribosomal RNA is filed under the name uncultured bacterium. RNAcentral's name for it is "partial 16S ribosomal RNA". It matches the Rfam family "Bacterial small subunit ribosomal RNA", at positions 99 to 334 of the family's 1533-position model. The record is from RNAcentral.